AAACUGGGGUAGUUAAUUAAUUAUUAUUUUAAAAUAUAAUUUAUAUAUAAUCAUCCAAAACAAUUGAAUAAUUUAGUUACCAUAGGGAUAACAGCGCAAUUUUAUUUUAAAGCUCUUAUUUAAAAAAAAGAUUACGACCUCGAUGUUGAAUUAAUAGCCUAUCCUUUAAAGCAAAUUUUAAAAUAGGAAGUCUGUUCGACUUUUAAAAAAUUACAUGAUUUGAGUUCAGACCGGUGUAAGCCAGGUCGGUUUCUAUCUUUUAAUUAUACUUUUACAGUACGAAAGGACCUAAAAAUUCAAUUAAAUUGAAUUAAUUGGCAGAAAAAUGCAUUAGAUUUAGAUUCUAAUAAGACU
This 354-nucleotide ribosomal RNA is filed under the name Maeota sp. Napo. Its description in RNAcentral is "partial 16S ribosomal RNA". The stretch from base 87 to 247 matches the Rfam family "Bacterial large subunit ribosomal RNA", at positions 2473 to 2632 of the family's 2925-position model. The record is from RNAcentral. Lineage: Eukaryota; Metazoa; Arthropoda; Arachnida; Araneae; Salticidae.